ACACAUGCAGUCGAGCGGAUGAGAGGAGCUCGCUCCUUGAUUUAGCGGCGGACGGGUGAGUAAUGCCUAGGAAUCUGCCUGGUAGUGGGGGAUAACGUCCGGAAACGGGCGCUAAUACCGCAUACGUCCUACGGGAGAAAGCAGGGGACCUUCGGGCCUUGCGCUAUCAGAUGAGCCUAGGUCGGAUUAGCUAGUUGGUGAGGUAAUGGCUCACCAAGGCGACGAUCCGUAACUGGUCUGAGAGGAUGAUCAGUCACACUGGAACUGAGACACGGUCCAGACUCCUACGGGAGGCAGCAGUGGGGAAUAUUGGACAAUGGGCGAAAGCCUGAUCCAGCCAUGCCGCGUGUGUGGAGAAGGUCUUCGGAUUGUAAAGCACUUUAAGUUGGGAGGAAGGGCAUUAACCUAAUACGUUAGUGUUUUGACGUUACCGACAGAAUAAGCACCGGCUAACUUCGUGCCAGCAGCCGCGGUAAUACGAAGGGUGCAAGCGUUAAUCGGAAUUACUGGGCGUAAAGCGCGCGUAGGUGGUUCGUUAAGUUGGAUGUGAAAGCCCCGGGCUCAACCUGGGAACUGCAUCCAAAACUGGCGAGCUAGAGUACGGUAGAGGGUGGUGGAAUUUCCUGUGUAGCGGUGAAAUGCGUAGAUAUAGGAAGGAACACCAGUGGCGAAAGCGACCACCUGGACUGAUACUGACACUGAGUGCGAAAGCGUGGGGAGCAAACAGGAUUAGAUACCCUGGUAGUCCACGCCGUAAACGAUGUCAACUAGCCGUUGGGUUCCUUGAGAACUUAGUGGCGCAGCUAACGCAUUAAGUUGACCGCCUGGGGAGUACGGCCGCAAGGUUAAAACUCAAUGAAUUGACGGGGGCC
This 872-nucleotide ribosomal RNA is filed under the name uncultured bacterium. RNAcentral's name for it is "bacterial SSU rRNA". It matches the Rfam family "Bacterial small subunit ribosomal RNA", at positions 51 to 921 of the family's 1533-position model. The record is from RNAcentral.